UACGCAGGGUGCGAGCGUUAAUCGGAAUUACUGGGCGUAAAGCGUGCGCAGGCGGCUUUGCAAGACAGAUGUGAAAUCCCCGGGCUCAACCUGGGAACUGCAUUUGUGACUGCAAGGCUAGAGUACGGCAGAGGGGGAUGGAAUUCCGCGUGUAGCAGUGAAAUGCGUAGAUAUGCGGAGGAACACCAAUGGCGAAGGCAAUCCCCUGGGAUAACACUGACGCUCAUGCACGAAAGCGUGGGGAGCAAACAGG
Molecule: ribosomal RNA, 253 nt
Filed under: uncultured bacterium
Lineage: Bacteria
Description: partial 16S ribosomal RNA
Rfam family: Bacterial small subunit ribosomal RNA
Source: RNAcentral